GACGAACGCUGGCGGCGUGCUUAACACAUGCAAGUCGAACGGAAAGGCCCUGCUUUUGUGGGGUGCUCGAGUGGCGAACGGGUGAGUAACACGUGAGUAACCUGCCCUUGACCUUGGGAUAACUUCAGGAAACUGGGGCUAAUACCGGAUAGGAGCUCCUGCUGCAUGGUGGGGGUUGGAAAGUUUCGGCGGUUGGGGAUGGACUCGCGGCUUAUCAGCUUGUUGGUGGGGUAGUGGCUUACCAAGGCUUUGACGGGUAGCCGGCCUGAGAGGGUGACCGGCCACAUUGGGACUGAGAUACGGCCCAGACUCCUACGGGGGGCAGCAGUGGGGAAUAUUGCACAAUGGGCGGAAGCCUGAUGCAGCAACGCCGCGUGCGGGAUGACGGCCUUCGGGUUGUAAACCGCUUUCGCCUGUGACGAAGCGUGAGUGACGGUAAUGGGUAAAGAAGCACCGGCUAACUACGUG
This 468-nucleotide ribosomal RNA is filed under the name uncultured bacterium. RNAcentral's name for it is "partial 16S ribosomal RNA". It matches the Rfam family "Bacterial small subunit ribosomal RNA", at positions 28 to 507 of the family's 1533-position model. The record is from RNAcentral.